Molecule: long non-coding RNA, 206 nt
Organism: Amblyraja radiata (thorny skate)
Lineage: Eukaryota; Metazoa; Chordata; Chondrichthyes; Rajiformes; Rajidae
Exons: 3
Source: RefSeq, a predicted model, not a curated record
AAAACAUAUCAUUAUUAAAGGAUUGGACUGGGUAGAUGCAGGAAAAAUGUUCCCGAUGUUGGGGGAGUCCAGAACCAGGGGUCACAAUAUAACAAUAAGUGGUAGGCCGUGUAGGAUUAGAUGAGGAAAAGCUUUUUCACCUAGAGAGUUGUGAAUCUGUGGAAUUCUCUGCCACAGAAGGCAGUGGAGGCCAAUUCACUGGAUGU